This 465-nucleotide ribosomal RNA is filed under the name uncultured bacterium. RNAcentral's name for it is "partial 16S ribosomal RNA". It matches the Rfam family "Bacterial small subunit ribosomal RNA", at positions 28 to 507 of the family's 1533-position model. The record is from RNAcentral.
GACGAACGCUGGCGGCGUGCUUAACACAUGCAAGUCGAACGGAAAGGCCCUGCUUGCAGGGUACUCGAGUGGCGAACGGGUGAGUAAAACGCGGGUGAUCUGCCCUGCACUUCGGGAUAAGCCUGGGGAACUGGGUCUAAUACAGGAUAGGAGCCAUUUUUAGUGUGAUGGUUGGAUAGUUUUUUCGGUGUAGGAUGAGAUCGCGGCCUAUCAGCUUGUUGGUGGGGUAAUGGCCUACCCAGGCGGCGUCGGGUAGCCGGCCUGUGAGGGUGGACGGCCACAUUGGGACUUAGGUACGGCCCCGGCUCCUACUGGAGGCAGCAGUGGGGAAUAUUGCACAAUGGGCGCCAGCCUGAUGCAGCGACGCCGCGUGGGGGAUGACGGCCUUCGGGUUGUAAACUCCUUUCGCUAGGGACGAAGCUUUUUGUGACGGUACCUAGAUAAGAAGCACCGGCUAACUACGUG